Callithrix jacchus (white-tufted-ear marmoset) is the source of this 8468-nucleotide long non-coding RNA. RefSeq lists it as uncharacterized. The record is from RefSeq and is a predicted model, not a curated record. NCBI's taxonomy places the organism in Eukaryota, Metazoa, Chordata, Mammalia, Primates, Cebidae.
ACGCCACGAAGCUUCGUGUGUUGCUUGGAUUCCACGGGCCGUGGGUUCUCUGCCUCUGUGACAACAAGCUGGGGCUGAGGAGGUCGGGGUGUAGGAGGGAUGACCCCAGUCAGCUCCAGCCCGUGUUCUGCUGAUACCCCAAGAGCCCUGGGCCUCAGAAGGUGAAGCAGGAAGUCCCUGCGUUUUCACCCCUAGCGUCUUCUCAGGGCCGCGGCAUUUAAUCCUGAAGUCAUGGGCGGGUGUAAGCCUGCAGGAAGUUAAGUUCGGGGGAAACCCAGACAGAGACCAAAGACUGGCCUCCUCCAGAGGACGAAGAAUGAGCUGGGCGGAUGCUGAGUGUACAGUGACAUCUGGGUGGCCCAUAAGGAGGAAACUAUGUUUUAAGGAUGGCAGAAUAAGGAGAUGGAAGAAGUCUGGCUCCUGGGGAUUCUGCAAAGCCACCUGGCAGCUACAAACUGUCUCCUCUACAUUUCUUUCCCCUGAAAAACAAACAGCAUCCAUCUUGUCUAAGCCACUGUUAUUUUGGAUUUUCUGCCACACAGCUGAGCCUUUCCUAACCAGUACAGACUGCAUCUCCCACCUAAUAAAAGAUUAACAGGGCUCCCAAUCUCAGCCCAUCCAUUGCCUGUACAAGAAAGCAAUGAUGAUUCAUUUAAAAGCACUCUAUUCAGAAUACUAUCUUCUCCUAUUUCCUACAAAUCAAAUUACCAAGAGACCAAUUGGAUUUUUCAAGUCCCUCAAAAUGUUCUUUUUCGAUGUUCUUGAUAUUAAAUAGUAACAGAAUUUAAAUGGCAUCAACAAAACACACAGACGUGACUGUGGUGACAAGUUACAUAAUUCUGUGAGAGAAAGAACCUCACAAGAACACAAUGGAUGCGACAGAGAUAGGAAACAGAAAGUCGAAUCUGCGGGAUUUGCCUCUGGCUUUUACUGCCUGGCCAUGGGCAUCCACCUACUCAUGUUCAGGGGCACCAUCCCUGAUCUUAGGGAGAGUAAUAUCCAAGCGGCUUGGGGAGAAGGGUGGCUGGUUAAUGAACUGCAUUUCUACCUCAGUAUUCUCAAUUCCUGAACACCCAUUGCAGACCCUGAGCUUCUUGAACUCAUUAGUGGAAGCUGCAUCUCACUCAUGCUUCAUAGUCCUAGUGCCAAGCACAGAAACAGCUCCAUGUCAGCAGGCCUAGCUCUGAGCCCCAGCUCUGUCAACCAUGGAUGCUACUCACCAGGGAACAAAACCUGAGCCCUAAUUAUGUGCCAGGUGCUGUGCAAAACACUCUACCUUCACCUUCUGUAACCUUCACAACAAUCCUCUGAAGCAUCUCCGUUACCAUGGCAAUUUACAGACGAAGCCAAUGAGCCAUGAAGAAGGUCAAGCCAUUGCCCAAAGUCACUCAGCUCCUGAGUUCCAGAAGAAGGCUUUGAACCUAGUGGUCUGAUUUCAGUCACUCAGCUCCUGAGUUCCAGAAGAAGGUUUCAAACCUAGUGCUCUGACUUCAUGCAUUCAACCCCACUGCACUGUAAAAGGAAAAGCAUGACACAGAUGUUGUUAUUGCUGUUGUUACAGACUCGAAAGAAGGAUGGAAACUAACAAUGUAGGGAGGUUGUAGCUGGGCCUGGAUCGGGAUGAGGUUUGACAUUGUAUCUAUCUUAUCUCAUGUAUUCUGCACAGAGACUUAUUCUCAAUGUAAAAAUAGGUAACUGAGGCUCAGGAAGGAAAACAAAUCCCCCAAGACCUCUCAGCCUAGUGGUAGCAUCUGGAUUUCACGUCAGGUUUCUCUGAUUUCAAAGCCCAUGCUCUUUUCAUUCCUCAGAGCUACCUCUCAGCCCACUGCAGAGAGAGUGACCAUCAACUCCUCCUGGAGACUGAAAUUUGAGGUUCUAAGAGGCAACCAUUGCCAUUGAUAAAAAAUUUAGUUGUAUUUAUUGAAAUUAUUUAUAGCUGAAUCCAUAACAUAUGUGUAUAUAAAAUAUAUACGUAUUUGAGGCAAUACAAAGAUAUCAUACACAAGGGUUAGGAAAUAAUUAUUGUAGAUGGGAGAAUAAAAUGUCGCUAAGUAGUGUGGAUAAAAUCUUUUGGGUCUGGCACAGAAGUUGCUAUGGGUCUGGGUAGGCAAGCAGGCUCACAAGACACAAAUAAGUUUUCAUCUACUCCCAUGUUGCCUUAGCCUUAUGGAAGGCCACAGAACCGGAGAUACAGCAGGUGCAGCAUUCCCAGCUCAUGAGAAACCCAGCAGCUACCCAAGGAUGCAGCUGCUUCUACCUUCUCACCCACAUGGGACAUGAACUGCUGGUGUGGAUGAGAGACAAGGGGUGGGGGUCACCUGACACAGAGUAGCACAGAGCACCCCAAUUUCCCACCAAUCUUUCACACCAUGCUGAUCAGCAGGCCCCAGACCCACAUGCCAACUCAUAGCUCACUCAGUCCAGAUGAAGUUUCCCAGGUCUGAGAUUUCACAGACACAACAUCCCUCAUUUGUUUUAACUACCACUUGCACAGGAAAAAAAAAAAAAAAAAGUCUACCUCUCAAGUCACUCAGACCUGAUGUCAACACUUUAGGCUUGGGUAUCAAGCAAAGAGCCAAGAGCAUUAAAGAAGCCAGGUUGGGUCAGAUGUAGUGGCUCAUGUCUGUAAUCCCAGCACUUUGGGAGGCCAAGGUGGGAGAAUCACUUGGGCCCAGGAAUUUGAGAUCAGCCUGGGCAACACACAGAGGCACUGUCUCUACAACAACAAAAAAAAUAGCUGGAUAUUAUGGCACUUGCCUGUAGUCCCAGCUACAUAGGAGGCUUAGUGGGGAGGAUCAGCCUUGGAGACUGAGGCUGCAGUUAUUGAUGACUGCACCACUACACUCCAGCCUGGGCAACACAGUGAGACUCUAACUCAAAAAAAAAAAAAAAAAGCAGCAUCAGCCAUGUUGCAUAAUGGAUGCUCUACAUACACUAUGUGUUAUGGUUUGAAUGUUUGUCUCCUCCAAAACUCAUGUUGAAAUUUAACUGCCAGUAUAAAAGUACUGGGAAGUGGGCUCUUUAAGAAGUGAUUAGGCCAUGAGGGUUCCACCCUCAGGGUGGGUUUAAUGCCUUAAUUAAAAGGCUUUUUAGAGUGGCUCUCUCUUUGCUCUCCUCUGCGAUAAGACAAGGCAGCCAGAAAACCCUUGCCAGAUGCCAGCACCUUGAUGUUGAACUUCCCAGCCUCUAAAACUGUGAGAAAACAGAUUUAUAUUUAAUAUAAAUUACCCAGUCUCAGGUAGUCUGUUCUAGCAGCACAAACGGACUAGGACAAUCAGUAAGAACUGGGCCAAAAGUAACAAAAAAACCUAACCAAUGUUUCUUAUACACUGGGGGCUUAUUUUCUUAUACACUCGGGAAUGCAGUCCCGAGCUGGUGUAGCUUCCGAGCAGGUAAAUCCCAAUGGUGUGGACUUCCAUCCAUGCUUGUUGCCUUGCAGUUGCCAUAGAGAGGCUACAUCCCCUAGUCUCACAUCCACAUGACAGGCAGAAAGAAGAAGUCAGAGGAAAGGAAAAGGGGGCAGAACCUGUAACAGGAAAACAAAAGGUUUCCCCCAAAUUCCCAGCAGAUGUCCUCUCCCAUCUCAUCAGUCUGAGUUGUAUUACAAGGCCACCAACAGCUGCGAAGAAGUCUGAAACAGCGAUCAUGCUUAGCUAGGCCCAGAUCUUCCUCCAACAAAAUGGGAUUCUGUUCAUUAAGAAGAAAGGGAGAUUGUACAUUGGCAAGUUGGAUUGGUAAUUUGCAAUUUGUCACAUAUAACCACCUUGAAAAACUGUUUUCACAUCCACCAGGCCCCACACAAUUUGGGGUAGCCCACUCCAUGUGCACAGGCUUCUCAGUGAACCAAGCUUUCUCCUUCCCCCAGCCCCAGCCUCUCCCUCCUGCAACAGGAUACAGGAGACUAAACAAACACAGGUGCCUAUCCUCAGCAUACCCACUUGCCUUCCACUAGCCACCAGCCCUUUAGGAAAACCACCAAGGAAUUUAUUUUCCAGGCCUCAUUUUGGAGCUUUGAAAAGGGCUUGAUUUUUACAACUGGAAUUUAAAAAGACUGCCCACGGGCACAGCGUUUUUCCAACAGAGUAGGAGCCAGGCACCAUUCCCUCAGCAGGCCCUGUGUUUGCUUGGUUUUCUUAUUUUGACAACUAGAUGCUAGCACCUAAGUCAUGCUGUAAAAAUCUGUGGCUACCAUGGCCUAGAUAUUUCUUAAGGUAUCUUGGAGCUAUACACAGAGUCUACACUGGUUAAAACUGUCUUCUUUCAUAUGUAGUGAGCUCCUUCACAUGGGAGACAGCCAGGAAGAGGUUGGCCGGUCACUUCUUAAAGACAAUAGAGUGCAGUGUAUCAGAGAAAUGCUGGACAUUCCUUUGGGCUCCAAGAGUCAAUGACUUGGAUCUUUGGGGUUUGCUUUCAUUUCCCUCUCUUAAAACAGCAUCAAGCAAAAGUCAUGGGGCUCCCAACAAAGGGAAAAUAAGUCACAGGAUUUGGAGACUGGGUUAAGGGAAGUUUGGUGGCAAACUCAUCUUGAAGUUGGCUGGGACGAAAUUUGAGAUUGUUCUCAUGGGCAGCAAUGUGGAAGUUAAAAAAAAAAAAAAAACAAAUUUCCUGAGAAGUGUCAACAACUUCACAGGAGAUGAGAUAGGUGGGUAUUGGGGAUCACCUCUCAAGGGCUCCCUAAACCACCUCAGAUUUCAGAAAUUAUAAAGUGAAGGGACAGGAAAAUAUGAUAACUAUUGUUAAUUUUAAAUCUGACAAAAUAAAGCUAACAUGUCUUCCAGUGGGGAAAUCUGGAAAUGAGAAGAGAAAAUGUUACUGAAGGAAAAAAAGGAAACAACCUUAGUGUAAAAUUUUUAAAAUGUUAACCCUAAGGUUUUAGAACCUAAAAGUUCUAUUAAGAAGGCACAAAAGUUCCUAAUGUGCUCUAAAUCACAUCAAAAUUGCUUCUAUACAGGUGGGUUUUAAGAUAACAAGAGGAAAUAUUAACAGAUAAAUAAAAUUUUCCUUUUUGCUACUGGGGUAAUGUUUAGAAAAUUACCCAUCUGAAGCAGACUGAUACUAAAAAUGACCUCAAUUCUUCACCACUCCACACACCCACAUUCUUUAUCAUGUGACUUUGCAGCUCCUCCUAUCAAGAGAUAGAGUCUAUUUCCCCACCCUGAGAUCUGGGUGAGGAUCACUGGCAAAUACAAUGUGGCAAAAGUGAACAUGUGUGAAAUCCAAGUCUGACCUCAGAGAUCUUGCUCAUUUCUGCUCUCUUUUGGAAUGCUACCUCCACUCUGUUAACAAGGCUAGGCUAGCCUGGGAGCUAGUGAGAGAGCUCAGAGACAAGAGCUCAUUUACCUCAGCCAAGGCCAUCCUAGAUCAACCUACAGCCAGCCAACCUUUAAACAUGUGAGAAAAGCCAGCCAACAUCAUCCAAGCUCCCUGCCUGAUCCACAGCUGGCCUCAGAUGCAUGAAGGAGAUCAUCCAGGAGCUAAAAACCCAGAGACUUGCAUGCAAUAAGAAAUGCUUUUUGCACUUUGGGAGGCCGAGGCGGGUGGAUCAUGAGGUCAAGAGAUCGAAACCAUCCUGGUCAACAUGGUGAAACCCUGUCUCUACUAAAAAUACAAAAAAUUAGCUGGGCAUGGUGGCACAUGCCUGUAAUCUCAGCUACUCAGGAGGCUGAGGCAGGAGAAUUGCCUGAACCCAGGAGGCAGAGGUGUGGUGAGCCGAGAUCGCACCAUUGCACUCCAGCCUGGGUAAUGAGCGAAACUCCAUCUCAAAAAAAAAAAAAAAGAAAUGCUUUUUGUUUUAAGCCAGGGUAAGCAAACUUUUGAUAUCAAGGACCAAAUAGUAAAUAUUUUAGACUUACUAAAUAUUUGAUAUGGUCUCUGUUGUAUGUCUUAUUUUGUUUUUUUAUGAUUUAAACAUGUAAAACCAUUCUCAGCCUGUGGGUGGUACAAAAGCAUGCUGCAGGUCAUAGUUCACCACUCUCUGAUUAAGCCACUGAGCUCUGAGGCAGUUUGUUACAUAGCAGAAGCUAACUAAUACACCACAUGGUUUGUAUUCGCCCUUAUAUCUUGUUCUCAUGCAAACAGAAAACUACGCCAUGAGAGUCAUUUCCUCCAGGAGAAAAGGUUGACUGCUGCCAGAAAUCAAGAGGUCAUUGAUCAAUGUUGUCUCUCAAAGCUGAUUUUCCUGGUUCCUUUUAUAAAAUAAUAACCUGAAAGCCAGUCUUUGGGAUGAAAAAAAGAUUUCUAAAUUUCAGAAACUAAUGGCCAAGAUCCAGGGACUCCAGAGGAAGAUACUUGUAUAUAUUCACAAAAUGUUAAAUGGGACCAGUCUCUUUUCAGUGGAAAUAAUUUCCAGAGCAGACUGGGCUGUCAUCCUACAGUAGAGACCAGCCAGGAUCCAGUGAGUCAGCCCCUUCCUCUACAACCAUGAGGUCAUAGAAGCCCAGCCCCCUAAACAUCUAGCUCUCAUUUUGUGGAGAUAUAAAGAAAUGGGGGAGGAAAUAAGAAAGACUGGGCAUGGAUCUGAGUCAUGCCUGUAGAGAAUGAAUAGACUAUCUAAAUUACUGGAUUGGACUGAGUUUACCGGACUGGACUAAAUUUAGUUUUUCCUUGCUACUCCAUGGGUUUGGAGACUUAGAGGAUGAUAGAUCACCUGUAGGAAACAAUAGAGCUGUUACAGCUUCAAUGCUGUCCCCCGAGAAGAUGCACCACCCACCUUAUUUGGAAAUAAGGUAUUUGCAGAUGCUAAGAUGAGUUAUUAGGGUCAUGAUGGCUGUGUUACAAAAAGAGAAGAUGAAAAUGACACCCAGGAGAAGAAUGCCAUGUGUCAACAGAGGCAGAGAUUAGAGAAAUGUGGUCAUAAACCAAGAAAGGCCAAGACUGUGGGCAACCCCAGAAGCUAAGAGGAAAGUGUGAAACAGACUCUUUCCCAGUGACUUCAGGAGAGCAUGGUCCCACUGUCACCUUGAUUUCUGACUUCUGGCCUCCAUAACUGCAAGACAAUGAAUGUCUGUUCUAGGCCACCCAGUUUGCCAGCAUUUGUUACAGCAGCACUAGGAAACCAACACAAAGUCCAUUUCUUCAAAAGAGAUUAUUUACAUCUUCUCAGCCGGGCAUGGGGGCUCACACCUGUAAUCCCAGCACUUUGGGAGGUGGAGGCAGGUGGAUCGCCUGAGGUCAGGAGUUUGAGACCAGCCUGGCCAGCAUGGUGAAACCCCGUCUAGAGAUACAAAAAUUAGCCAGGUGUGGUGGCAGGCACCUGUAAUCCCAGCUACUUGGGAGGCUGAAACAGGAGAAUCACUUGAUCCCGGGAGGUGGAGUUUGCAGUGAGCCGAGAUCGUGCCAUCGCACUCCAGCCUGGGCAACAGAGCAAGACUCCAUCUCAAAAAAAAUUUUUUUAAGAGAUUAUUUACAUCUUCUAAUUAAUAAAAAUGAUUCUUUCAACACUGCUUUUCUGAAGUUCCACUUCUGAAAUUUAAAGUGUUCCUUGAGGGUCCCAGAAUGCUGGCUGGCAAAGAUGGAGCCACUACUCUCCCCAGAAAGAGGUUCACACUCACACUCAGAGACUGUAGGGAGGGCAUAUUCCAGUGGCUCUGAAGACCUCUGGUUGAUUUUGGAUUUGGUUUAGAAGGGAACAGAUGAUAAAAGGAACAUUUUCAGAAAUGGCCUGCCUUUUCAAGGUCCUAACUUUAAUGUACACUGAGGUCAUCUGGAACAAGUGUUGGGAAUAGAGACUUCUGAACCUCAUCCUCAGAGAUUCUUGUUCACUUUGUCCAGAGAAGGAAAUUCAAGAAUCUGUAUCUUUAGCAAGCAUCAUUUAGUGAUUCUGGUAAAGCCAUUUAAAAAACCCUACCCCAGAAGAAGCCAUGGAGGGAUCCCAAAAUUCAAAGUAGCAGAGAGCUCCCAUUCAUUCCCUGCCCACUUGGGAAGCUGUCCCAGAGUGGGGACUGGCUAAGAAGGAAAAGCUUGGACCUAUGGUGCUCCUCACCUGCUUCCUUCCUUGGGAGGAAGAUGGGGGCUGCUGGGGCAGCCCUUCCUGGUGCUCUCUCCCUUCACAAAUGGGUACCCGGGUCGGUACUGGGACAGUGGCACUCCCUAGUGGCCACGUUUCGUUUUUCAGGUACUUAGCAACCGGCACCAGGCCAGCAGCUGAAUGGAUGGUGCUUCAUCAAUAACAGGGCAAUGGAGCAACUUAUUGUGAUCUUGACUCAUAUGGUGAUAAAUGUGAAAUCGGAACACAGAAGUGGAACAUCACAGGAAAUGGCAACUGCAUUUUAUGGGUCUUAAAUUUCAGACCAGAAGAGAAAAUCACUACUGGGCUCUGAAAAGCUGAAGUCAGGGUCAUAUUUUCUCAAAACCUUUUCAGAAGAAAUCAUGAAAAAAACUGUAGAAGACAGCGUUGAGGUGGGGUGGGGGGAGGUCAGGGGAGUCAAGCCAUUUGGAAAAGCUCUUUAGAAAGAAAAUCUCUGUGUAGC